Molecule: microRNA, 21 nt
Filed under: Physcomitrium patens
Lineage: Eukaryota; Viridiplantae; Streptophyta; Bryopsida; Funariales; Funariaceae
Description: ppt-miR1212
Source: miRBase by way of RNAcentral
CGUGGGACAGCAUAGAAUGCG